This 577-nucleotide long non-coding RNA is filed under the name Phaseolus vulgaris (common bean). RNAcentral describes it as "long non-coding RNA (PVUL_LNC002456)". The record is from RNAcentral. Lineage: Eukaryota; Viridiplantae; Streptophyta; Magnoliopsida; Fabales; Fabaceae.
GAACGACUAUUGCUCCCGUUCCUUUCAACUUUUCUUUCUUAAUGCUAUAAUUAUAAAAUGUGAAAUGAUGUAUAAUGUUAUUGUAUGAAUACCAAUCUCCGAUUGUUUGUUGGAUCUAGCUGAUCUGAUCUACUAGUGUUUUGGUUGGCCUGGUCUUAGGGAUAAAAACUGUAGAAAAUGAAGAUCAUAGAUAAAAUACAUGAAGCCGCAGCUGAUCCAAAUAGGGUGGUGUUCUCGUUUGAGUUCUUCCCGCCCAAGACUGAGGAUGGGGUGGACAAUUUGUUCGAGAGGAUGGACCGCAUGGUGGCGCACAAUCCCUCGUUCUGUGAUAUCACCUGGGGUGCUGGUGGAACCACCGCUGAUCUAACUUUGGAAAUUGCCAACAAGAUGCAGAACAUUGUCUGUGUGGAUACCAUGAUGCACCUCACCUGCACCAACAUGCCUGUUGAGAAGAUAGACCAUGCUCUCCACACCAUCAAGUCCAAUGGCCUCCAGAAUGUGCUUGCUCUUCGAGGUGACCCCCCACAUGGCCAGGACAAAUUUGUGCAGGUUGAAGGCGGCUUUGCCUGCGCACGCG